RNAcentral lists this ribosomal RNA (1171 nucleotides) under Lophopanopeus bellus. Its description in RNAcentral is "SSU rRNA". It matches the Rfam family "Eukaryotic small subunit ribosomal RNA", at positions 88 to 1233 of the family's 1831-position model. The record is from RNAcentral. Lineage: Eukaryota; Metazoa; Arthropoda; Malacostraca; Decapoda; Panopeidae.
CGCGAAUGGCUCAUUAAAUCAGCUAUGAUUCAUUGGAUCUGUACCCACACUUACUUGGAUAACUGUGGUAAUUCUAGAGCUAAUACAUGCACCACGUCUCUGACCGCAAGGGAAGAGCGCUUUUAUUAGUUCAAAACCGGUCGGGCCUCGGUCCGUCACCCCACCGUGUUGAAUCUGAAUAACUUGUCGCUGAGCGCACGGUCUCCGCACCGGCGCCGCCUCUUUCAAGUGUCUGCCUUAUCAGCUUUCGAUUGUAGGUUAUACGCCUACAAUGGCUAUAACGGGUAACGGGGAAUCAGGGUUCGAUUCCGGAGAGGGAGCCUGAGAAACGGCUACCACAUCUAAGGAAGGCAGCAGGCACGCAAAUUACCCACUCCCGGCACGGGGAGGUAGUGACGAAAAAUAACGAUGCGAGACUCAUCCGAGGCCUCGCAAUCGGAAUGAGUACACUUUAAAUCCUUUAACGAGGAUCUAUUGGAGGGCAAGUCUGGUGCCAGCAGCCGCGGUAAUUCCAGCUCCAAUAGCGUAUAUUAAAGUUGUUGCGGUUAAAAAGCUCGUAGUUGGAUUUCAGUUCUGGACUGACGGUUCACCGCCCGGUGCACACUGUCACGCUCCGAACAGCCACAACAGCCCGCUGGCUCGCACGGGGUGCUCUUCAUCGAGUGUCCCGCGUGGCCGGCAGAGUUUACUUUGAAAAAAUUAGAGUGCUCAAAGCAGGCUACACUGACGGCCUGAAUGCCUAUGCAUGGAAUAAUGGAAUAGGACCUCGGUUCUAUUUUGUCGGUUUUCUGAACCCGAGGUAAUGACUAAUAGGAACAGGCGGGGGCAUUCGUAUUGCGACGCUAGAGGUGAAAUUCUUGGACCGUCGCAAGACGAACUACUGCGAAAGCAUUUGCCAAGGAUGUUUUCAUUAAUCAAGAACGAAAGUUAGAGGUUCGAAGGCGAUCAGAUACCGCCCUAGUUCUAACCAUAAACGAUGCUGACCAGCGAUCCGCCGGCGUUAUUCCCAUGACCCGGCGGGCAGCUUCCGGGAAACCAAAGUCUUUGGGUUCCGGGGGAAGUAUGGUUGCAAAGCUGAAACUUAAAGGAAUUGACGGAAGGGCACCACCAGGAGUGGAGCCUGCGGCUUAAUUUGACUCAACACGGGGAACCUCACCAGGCCCAGACACCG